RNAcentral lists this long non-coding RNA (1423 nucleotides) under Mytilus galloprovincialis (Mediterranean mussel). Lineage: Eukaryota; Metazoa; Mollusca; Bivalvia; Mytilida; Mytilidae. The record is from RNAcentral.
UUUUCUCAUAGUACUAGAUUAAAACUGACGUGGAAAGGUAACACCCGGCCACCGAAAGCUUCAUUUGUAUGAAGCCCAGGUGGUCGUGUGGUCUAGCACCGGUUACAGUGCAGGCGAUUUGGUGUCACGAUAUCUCAGUAGCAUGGGUUCGAAAAAAACACACACAUAUUUUCAAAAAUUUUGCCGCCAUUUUGGAACCGGAAGUCAUUUUUUUCUUCAUUUUUAUGUUGUUUUGUCGUACUUUAGGAACUUUGAUUUACGUUUUACCAAAACUUACAUUGGAGUAUACCUAUUAAACAGCUUUCAAGGAUUUACGAAACGUGGCCAAUUGGUAUGACGCUAUUUGAAAAGGAUCGAUGACCAUCUUGAAAAAAUGGGAAUUUUUUAUGGCCAGCAGAAGAUGUUUUUAAUAAUCAUUUAGUCAACCUUUAUAUCGAUUUGCACAAUUAUUUUCAUGAUAUCUCCCACUAUUGCAAGAGGUAUUAAUAUUAUUUAUAUUUAGCUGGUGGUUCUUAGUAAGGAUACUUUCAUUAUAAGUAAAAUACGGAUAAACAGGACUUUUCUAAAAAAAAAAAAAUUAUUUCUGGAUACCAUCUUAUGAUCAUAAACAAGCUUCUGUCCAAGUUUGAUAGAAAUCCAGGAUAAUUUAAGAAAGUUAUUAAAUUCAACUUUAAAAACAUAGUGAAUAUUUGUGGACGCUGCCACCGCCGACGACGAAAUGUAGGAUCGCUAUGUCUCGGUUUUUCGACAAAAUUCAAAGGCUGGAUAAAAAUCUUUUUUGUAUAUUUUGUUGUGGCUGUUGUUAUGUCAGUUAAAAAGAAGGCUAUUGUAACAAUUAGAAUUAGGAAAAAAGAAGAGGUUAUUAGGUCGAAUAUGGUUCAAACCGGUCGAGUAUUGUUCAGACUGAAAAAAAAUAGGGUCCGGAAGGCACAAUUUAUAAAAGUAAACCAUUAAAGGUCAAAGUACGGUCUUCAUCACGUAGCAUAGGGUCACACUGAAUAGAGAGCUGUACAGGGCCCAAAUAAAAUACUAGUAUAAAACAAUUCAGACUGGAAAACCAACGGUCUAAUCUAUAUAAAAAACGAAAAAAGAGAAACACAUCAAAAAUUAAGACUAUUUCAGACUGGUCUAGUACUAGUUCAGACUGUUGUCAAUGGCAAAGAUAAUGGUCUAGUACAAAUCAGUACAGUCAAGUGUGUGGUUAAGCUUGGUGUCGAGAAAUAGCAAAGUAAAAAUCAAACCGAUUCAAACUGGUCGAGUAAAAACAAUCAGUACAGUCCAGUACAGAUAUAAGCCAUUUCAGACUUUAAUUGGUUUGAAGUAUAGCCUUCUUCGGUUUAGCGUUUUCAAUUUAGAGAGCCUUUGACCAAACUGACAAAUUCUGAAUUUUCAACACCCUAAGUUAUGAAUAAAACUGCAAAAC